Molecule: ribosomal RNA, 1528 nt
Filed under: Klebsiella pneumoniae
Lineage: Bacteria; Pseudomonadati; Pseudomonadota; Gammaproteobacteria; Enterobacterales; Enterobacteriaceae
Description: bacterial SSU rRNA
Rfam family: Bacterial small subunit ribosomal RNA
Source: RNAcentral
AGAGUUUGAUCAUGGCUCAGAUUGAACGCUGGCGGCAGGCCUAACACAUGCAAGUCGAGCGGUAGCACAGAGAGCUUGCUCUCGGGUGACGAGCGGCGGACGGGUGAGUAAUGUCUGGGAAACUGCCUGAUGGAGGGGGAUAACUACUGGAAACGGUGGCUAAUACCGCAUAAUGUCGCAAGACCAAAGUGGGGGACCUUCGGGCCUCAUGCCAUCAGAUGUGCCCAGAUGGGAUUAGCUAGUAGGUGGGGUAACGGCUCACCUAGGCGACGAUCCCUAGCUGGUCUGAGAGGAUGACCAGCCACACUGGAACUGAGACACGGUCCAGACUCCUACGGGAGGCAGCAGUGGGGAAUAUUGCACAAUGGGCGCAAGCCUGAUGCAGCCAUGCCGCGUGUGUGAAGAAGGCCUUCGGGUUGUAAAGCACUUUCAGCGGGGAGGAAGGCGAUAAGGUUAAUAACCUUGUCGAUUGACGUUACCCGCAGAAGAAGCACCGGCUAACUCCGUGCCAGCAGCCGCGGUAAUACGGAGGGUGCAAGCGUUAAUCGGAAUUACUGGGCGUAAAGCGCACGCAGGCGGUCUGUCAAGUCGGAUGUGAAAUCCCCGGGCUCAACCUGGGAACUGCAUUCGAAACUGGCAGGCUAGAGUCUUGUAGAGGGGGGUAGAAUUCCAGGUGUAGCGGUGAAAUGCGUAGAGAUCUGGAGGAAUACCGGUGGCGAAGGCGGCCCCCUGGACAAAGACUGACGCUCAGGUGCGAAAGCGUGGGGAGCAAACAGGAUUAGAUACCCUGGUAGUCCACGCCGUAAACGAUGUCGAUUUGGAGGUUGUGCCCUUGAGGCGUGGCUUCCGGAGCUAACGCGUUAAAUCGACCGCCUGGGGAGUACGGCCGCAAGGUUAAAACUCAAAUGAAUUGACGGGGGCCCGCACAAGCGGUGGAGCAUGUGGUUUAAUUCGAUGCAACGCGAAGAACCUUACCUGGUCUUGACAUCCACAGAACUUAGCAGAGAUGCUUUGGUGCCUUCGGGAACUGUGAGACAGGUGCUGCAUGGCUGUCGUCAGCUCGUGUUGUGAAAUGUUGGGUUAAGUCCCGCAACGAGCGCAACCCUUAUCCUUUGUUGCCAGCGGUUAGGCCGGGAACUCAAAGGAGACUGCCAGUGAUAAACUGGAGGAAGGUGGGGAUGACGUCAAGUCAUCAUGGCCCUUACGACCAGGGCUACACACGUGCUACAAUGGCAUAUACAAAGAGAAGCGACCUCGCGAGAGCAAGCGGACCUCAUAAAGUAUGUCGUAGUCCGGAUUGGAGUCUGCAACUCGACUCCAUGAAGUCGGAAUCGCUAGUAAUCGUAGAUCAGAAUGCUACGGUGAAUACGUUCCCGGGCCUUGUACACACCGCCCGUCACACCAUGGGAGUGGGUUGCAAAAGAAGUAGGUAGCUUAACCUUCGGGAGGGCGCUUACCACUUUGUGAUUCAUGACUGGGGUGAAGUCGUAACAAGGUAACCGUAGGGGAACCUGCGGUUGGAUCACCU